Molecule: long non-coding RNA, 1759 nt
Organism: Chinchilla lanigera (long-tailed chinchilla)
Lineage: Eukaryota; Metazoa; Chordata; Mammalia; Rodentia; Chinchillidae
Exons: 2
Source: RefSeq, a predicted model, not a curated record
UCUGACCUGUUAGAUGGUGGUAGGUACCAUAUUGUUUACUUAAACAAUGAAUAUUUUGGGUACUCAUUGUGUUUGAAGGUAACAUUCCUUUACUCACUGAAAGGUGAUUUUAAUUGAGAUAAAUUUAUUAGAUAGAUAAGAUAGAAAUAUAGAUAUCUGUUGUCUUUUGACAAAUAUAUAUUAUCUGUGGAAGCUGGCCUGAGGGAGGAGCUCAUUUUCUUUGUGGUUAAAGGUACUGUCCUAAAGGUAAAAAUGUCCUUUCUAUAGAUGGAGUUUUUGAACCUACUGGUUUGAGUUGGAGUUCAUUGUUGUUGAGUCCUUGUUCCAAACUUUUGGGUAUUUUCCACCCAGAAAGUUUUUGAUGUUUAAAAUUUCAUCUGAAUUUAGAAGGUUAAUUUUCUUUUAAGGGAGUUUGGGGAAAAUCAGAAAUUCUGAUUUUGUUUAUGAAUAGAAGACAAAAAUAGUCAUUUUCCUGAAGAAAAGUGAUACUUCUGAAUUCUGGCUCUUCAGUAAUGAGAAUGGGACUUCUUCAUUGCACCUCUACUUCCUGCUACUGGGGCAACUCUUUCCCAGAGAUGCUAUGAGAAAGAUUGCUAGGAAAAGGUCUUCUAGACUUUAAGAAGCUUAAGAGACUCCACAAUGCUGUCAUUAGAAAAAUGAUAUUCAAGCUGGGCUUGGUGGCUCAUGCCUAUAAUCCCAGCACAUGGGAGGCUGAGGCAAGAGGAUUGCCAUGGGUUUGCAACCAGCCCUGGGCUACAUAGUUCAAGGCCAGCCUGGAUUUUAUACAGUAAGACCUUGUGUGGAAAGAAAAAAGGGAAUAAAAAUGUUAUUAUGUGCUAGUUUUCCAAAUCCUGAAGCUUCAUUUUCACCACAGUUUGUUUGCUUGGUUUUUAUUUUAUUUUAUUUUAUUUUUUUGAGACAGGGUCUUACUCUGUAGCCCAGGCUGGCCUUGAACUCAUUAUGUAGACCAGGUUGGCCUCAAACUUGAGGUGAUCCUCCAGCCUCAGCACCACUGUUUGAAAGACAGGAGCUAAGGAGAAGAGGCUAUAUCCUGAAAACAGGAGAAUGCAGUACAAGGACCUCAAAGUGAAUGUGUUAAGGCAGAGGAACAGCGGACACUGUCCACUGAAUGAAAAUAAAAAGAUAUGCAGUGUUCAAGGUCAGAGCAAAAAACAUGAAGAUCUCAGUUUACUUUGCUAAUUCCUUAGAUUUACGUCUUCGUCCCUUCUUUAGUUUGCAUGUAUACAUAAACUUAGGCUUCCUAAACCAUUUUCUUUCCAAAGGUGACAAAUGAACAUUUAUAGGAGACACACAGCAGUCACUGUGGGAGUUUAGCUGAGGAAUGUAUCAGAAACUCUUCGUCAUUUUCUGUUCCCCUCCUAGGCUGACCCUGAUGUGUUACCUGCUUCUGCUACCGAUCCAAACUGCAGAACUUCUCAUUCAUCCCCAUGGCCUCCGGGCAGUAUCCAAUGGGGAAUCAGCUCUAAAAGGAACCAGACCAACGUUUUCCAGCCCCUUUAUUCUGUAAUUACUUCUAUGUGAGGAAAGGAUAGAAAACGUUCAGGACAUCAUCAUAUAAACUCCUCAUCUACAAAGUUCCGGUAACAGUGACAUCUACACAGAAGACUUGGAACUGCAAACAGGAUGGAGUCACCUCAGUGACAUCUCUUGAUGCUGCCCAAACACAAGUUUGAUUUUUGUUUUGCGGGGUGCAGAAGAAAGGAGACUGUACUAAAAGACUAAAAUAAUUUUUUGUCUA